This 127-nucleotide ribosomal RNA is filed under the name uncultured bacterium. RNAcentral's name for it is "partial 16S ribosomal RNA". It matches the Rfam family "Bacterial small subunit ribosomal RNA", at positions 338 to 482 of the family's 1533-position model. The record is from RNAcentral.
CCUACGGGAGGCAGCAGUGGGGAAUAUUGCACAAUGGGGGAAACUCUGAUGCAGCAACGCCGCGUGGAGGAUGACACAUUUCGGUGCGUAAACUCCUUUUAUAUAGGAAGAUAAUGACGGUACUAUA